Ferrithrix thermotolerans DSM 19514 is the source of this 112-nucleotide non-coding RNA. The record is from Rfam. NCBI's taxonomy places the organism in Bacteria, Bacillati, Actinomycetota, Acidimicrobiia, Acidimicrobiales, Acidimicrobiaceae.
GCUCAAGAAUUCUGUCGUAAGCCCUCCGGCAUGACAGAAUGGCAACCGCUCCCGCAAGACGGUGCUACCGGAGGAAGAGCUGGUCGACGAGGUCAGUCGACAAGGCGGGAAG